RNAcentral lists this ribosomal RNA (373 nucleotides) under uncultured organism. RNAcentral's name for it is "bacterial SSU rRNA". It matches the Rfam family "Bacterial small subunit ribosomal RNA", at positions 526 to 896 of the family's 1533-position model. The record is from RNAcentral.
CGUAGGGUGCGAGCGUUGUCCGGAAUUAUUGGGCGUAAAGAGCUCGUAGGCGGUUUGUCGCGUCGACUGUGAAAACCCGAGGCUUAACCUCGGGCCUGCAGUCGAUACGGGCAGACUAGAGUUCGGUAGGGGAGACUGGAAUUCCUGGUGUAGCGGUGAAAUGCGCAGAUAUCAGGAGGAACACCGGUGGCGAAGGCGGGUCUCUGGGCCGAUACUGACGCUGAGGAGCGAAAGCGUGGGGAGCGAACAGGAUUAGAUACCCUGGUAGUCCACGCCGCAAACGUUGGGCGCUAGGUGUGGGGGUCUUUCCACGAUCUCCGUGCCGCAGCUAACGCAUUAAGCGCCCCGCCUGGGGAGUACGGCCGCAAGGCUA